RNAcentral lists this ribosomal RNA (497 nucleotides) under uncultured bacterium. RNAcentral's name for it is "partial 16S ribosomal RNA". It matches the Rfam family "Bacterial small subunit ribosomal RNA", at positions 28 to 507 of the family's 1533-position model. The record is from RNAcentral.
GACGAACGCUGGCGGCGUGCCCAAUACAUGCAAGUUGAGCGCUGAAGGUUGGUACUUGUACCAACUGGAUGAGCAGCGAACGGGUGAGUAACGCGUGGGGAAUCUGCCUUUGAGCGGGGGACAACAUUUGGAAACGAAUGCUAAUACCGCAUAAAAACUUUAAACACAAGUUUUAAGUUUGAAAGAUGCAAUUGCAUCACUCAAAGAUGAUCCCGCGUUGUAUUAGCUAGUUGGUGAGGUAAAGGCUCACCAAGGCGAUGAUACAUAGCCGACCUGAGAGGGUGAUCGGCCACAUUGGGACUGAGACACGGCCCAAACUCCUACGGGAGGCAGCAGUAGGGAAUCUUCGGCAAUGGACGAAAGUCUGACCGAGCAACGCCGCGUGAGUGAAGAAGGUUGUCGGAUCGUAAAACUCUGUUGGUAGAGAAGAACGUUGGUGAGAGUGGAAAGCUCAUCAAGUGACGGUAACUACCCAGAAAGGGACGGCUAACUACGUG